RNAcentral lists this unclassified non-coding RNA (1037 nucleotides) under Hevea brasiliensis (rubber tree). Lineage: Eukaryota; Viridiplantae; Streptophyta; Magnoliopsida; Malpighiales; Euphorbiaceae. The record is from RNAcentral.
UUUUUUUUUUAUUUAAAAUUAUUUUAAAACACUUUUUCAAUAAAGAAAUUGAAUAAUUCCACUAAGAAAUGUUGGCAUAGCCCAUGGUUGGUGUUAGGAUUCCACUGUAAUAACUCACUGUUGCUGCUGGAACUAGACACCUUAUGAUAGAAGGUGCAUUUGUAUGUGGGUGAAUGGGGAUUCUUUUGCAAACUGAAAGUACUAAUUGGCCAGUUUGUUAUGAUGUCUUAAAGAACUCCACGAUGAAAUUCCAUAGAACAUAUAUAUUCCUGCCUUGAAAAGUUUGCCUUUCAUAGUUAAUACUGCCGUGAACUUCUCUUGCCAGUAUGAGAAUGUUAGCCUGCAAGUAAACAUAGGGGUGAGGUCGGUGGCCUAUGGCCAGCCAUUUGGACGCUCAAGGUAGACACUUGUUUGAGAGAGAGAGAGUUAUGAAUGUAAGAGCACUGUAGUAAAUUGAGUAGAGUAAGCAUAUCUGACAUCUGGCCUUGGUGUGAUAUAUAUAUAUAUAUAGGUAACUUUGGCGACCAUUGUAAGUGGUUGCGAGUAUCUCAAGAAUGGUCGGUUGUGAUCCUGAGAUUCUUGGUGAGUAUAUCUGUCAUCAGGUGUGUGAUCUUCACUAGUCAGCUAUCUGAGCUAUCUCGCCCAGCUAUCCGAGUGAGGUGGGUUGUUGCUCGGUUAGUUGACUGAGCCAUCUAUUGCUUUGACCAUUGGACCAAGCCACUUGACUCUUUGACCAAACCUCUUGACUCUUUGACCUAGUGAAGCAGAGUGUUUGAGUAUUUGAUCGAGCCAUUUGACUCAGUUUUUUAGGCAGGCUAUAUAAUUGGUGGUUUCAUUCCUUUUUGUUAAAAUAUGCUACCUUUUAAAUAUUGAGAACUUUUUAUAGAUAUUUUUACUGACUAGCCAACAUUUGUGCCAUUUUAGAUGAGUUGCUGGAAAAUUGUAGCCAAGUGUGCUAUUACAAAUAUUUUUUCUGCAUGAACUACUAGUGGUGGUUUCUUUUUUUCUUUGUAGUUUUUUUAAAAUUUUUUUUUUUU